UACGAAGGGUGCAAACGUUGCUCGGAAUUAUUGGGCGUAAAGCGCACGUAGGCGGCUUGGCAAGUCGGAUGUGAAAUCCCUCGGCUCAACCAAGGAAGUGCAUCCGAAACUGCCGAGCUUGAGUACUUAAGAGGAUCGCGGAAUUCCCGGUGUAGAGGUGAAAUUCGUAGAUAUCGGGAGGAACACCAGUGGCGAAGGCGGGUCUCUGGGCAGAUACUGACGCUGAGGAGCGAAAGCGUGGGGAGCGAACAGG
RNAcentral lists this ribosomal RNA (253 nucleotides) under uncultured bacterium. Its description in RNAcentral is "partial 16S ribosomal RNA". It matches the Rfam family "Bacterial small subunit ribosomal RNA", at positions 524 to 776 of the family's 1533-position model. The record is from RNAcentral.